Molecule: long non-coding RNA, 373 nt
Organism: Ceratosolen solmsi marchali
Lineage: Eukaryota; Metazoa; Arthropoda; Insecta; Hymenoptera; Agaonidae
Exons: 2
Source: RefSeq, a predicted model, not a curated record
CUACUUUUCUACCCAAGCCAAGUUAAAAGUAAAUUUCAAAACCAAAGAAGUAUCAAUUAGUUAUUUUAGCAGUACUAAAAUUUCCAUAGAAGAUAUAAAGAUAAAAAUCACGGGGUUGUUCAACGAUGAUGAAAUCUCCGAAUUAGCUAGUGCUGUUAUUUCUGAGCUUAUUCCAGAUACUAUUGUAGAUUUUCAAGAAGAAAUUACAAAAUUUAUUAAUCAAUCAUUAAAAGAAAAUGCAAAUAAUUUUCUGAAGAACUAUACAUUAGAUGAUAUUAUGGGUUUACUUCAUUAAGUUUGUAUAAAUCAUACGUCUUUAUUGUUGAUAACAUACUAAAUGCAAGUGGAUAUUUAAAAAUUUUAUUUUACAACA